This 433-nucleotide ribosomal RNA is filed under the name uncultured bacterium. RNAcentral's name for it is "partial 16S ribosomal RNA". It matches the Rfam family "Bacterial small subunit ribosomal RNA", at positions 29 to 507 of the family's 1533-position model. The record is from RNAcentral.
AACGAACGCUGGCGGCAUGCCUAACACAUGCAAGUCGAACGAGACCUUCGGGUCUAGUGGCGCACGGGUGCGUAACGCGUGGGAACCUGCCCUUAGGUUCGGAAUAACUCCCCGAAAGGGGUGCUAAUACCGGAUAAUGUCUUCGGACCAAAGAUUUAUCGCCUUUGGAUGGGCCCGCGUUGGAUUAGCUAGUUGGUAGGGUAAAAGCCUACCAAGGCGACGAUCCAUAGCUGGUCUGAGAGGAUGAUCAGCCACACUGGGACUGAGACACGGCCCAGACUCCUACGGGAAGACGCAGUGGGGAAUAUUGGACAAUGGGCGAAAGACUGAUCCAGCAAUGACGCGUGAGUGAUGAAGGUCUUAGCGUUGUAAAGCUCUUUUAAACGGGAUGAUAAUGACAGUACCGGGAGAAUAAGCACCGGCUAACUCCGUG